UUUAGUUAUAUGAUAGUUUGACUAUCAAACUUAUAUUUUAUAUAUACAUGUAGCUGGACUUUAGAUGUUCACUUUUGUGAAUGACUUAUUAAUGUAAACUUAAUUUCUUAUCGUGAUUUCCUAUUUUCUCAAGCUUUCUGUAACACAUUUUAACCAACUUAAAAGACCCUACAUAUUUACCAUCAAAGUGUUGUGCCUAUGGCUUCUUUUCUGUACUUAAUGUAUCUAACUGUGCUAGUUCCUGUAGCCUUUUUCUGCUUUACUCAUUGUUUCUCUCUGCUUCCUGUUUAGAAUACUUUUAAUGACAACUUUUCAUUUUAGAAGGUAUUUUGUACUCCCUUGCAACGUGCUAAAGUUCUCCUAUUGAACAUCAGGAACUGAAUUCCCAGAAGUAAACCUCAUUUUGGUCCUUUGUUCUCUUUUUUUUUCCCCCUUGUAAUUGUUGUACUGAUCAUUCCAUAUUUAUUUAAGUUCUUUCUUAUAUUAGCCCUAGAAUAAUCUAGAAUACUUUACCAACUUGGUAGUUUAUUGUACAUUCCCAUUUAAGGUGGAUUUUUGUGUUCCCUUUUGUCUUUGUCUUCUUUGUGCUGGUGCGCUGUGUCCAAUAAUCUUUCCUUUAGAUUUCAUUUUGGUGAGUAAGGCUUCUAUUUCCAGAAAAUUAUUGUAUCACUGAAGAGUUUAUCUUAAUUCUCCUUUUGUUGUUCAUAUUAUAUUAUGUAAAUUUGUUAAAAGUCACUCCCCGGAUGAAUUUAACUGAAAAGUUCUCAAAUGGCUCACGUGACACUGAUGCUGCUUUAAGGAAGUGUCUUGCUCACCUGGUCAAACACCCAUUCCUCACUGCAUUUUGCCAAUUCAAUCCAUUUUAGAUGUAACCUCGGGUAUGGUGAAAGACCCACCGGACGUCUUGGACAGGCAAAAAUGCCUUGACGCUCUGGCUGCUCUACGCCACGCUAAGUGGUUCCAGGUUCGGAACAUCAUUUUACUUUUUUCUUGUAGCCUUAUGAGAGAGUAGUUCAGUACAACAUGUUUAACUAUGCUUAAACAUUUCAAACAAUUGCCUAAACAACACUAUUUUAAAUUAAAUCUCAGAAAAUAAGUUACCAUAGAAAGCUGAGUGUAACGAUCUGCAUUUUGCGGUUACUAUUAAUUUGACAAUAAACAGGUUUGGGGGGUGUUUGUAGUCUGGGUUUUUUAUUUUUAGUGGCUAUAUUUAAAGUUGACUUGCUUAGGAACAUCACAUGUUUUUGUAUAUAUAUUAUAUUCCAUAAGGCUGCAGAUUAACUUUGCUUUAAAUAAUGGAAUAUGUGUUUAAAGCUUUGUGUAGAGUUAUAAGACUUUUCCUCUUCUUUCUCCUAAGUUACUAAGUGUAGGGAAUGAAAGGUGAGGAAGCAGCUGCUUGGUUUAGUGACUUUGCAGACAUGCAAAGGCACGGAGAGGAAACCAAACAGAUUUCCUUAACCUUUCAGUCCCUAGACAAACUUUAGCUCUUUACUUUUCCAUUUUAUUUCUAAUGUAGGCAGAUUUUUUUCAGUUUACUGUUUUGUAUGAACAUAGGUCAAGGUUCACAGGGGAUCAAGAAAUAUUAUUCUUGUAUAAUCUGUUUACUUUGACCUAAAUACUAGCUUUUAAAUACUAACUCUGGCAUAAAAUAUUGCUGUAAAUGGCAGCUCAUUGAAACCAAUUUAAACGUAAUUAUUUUUAUUUUUAAUCUGAGCUUCCAUUGAACAGUGGUAUUUUAACUUUUUUUCACCAAGGGAUAUUUUUUAUAUUUCUAAGAUUAAUUCAGUUGGUUUUUGUGUUGCCCUCAAGGCUAGAGCUAAUGGCCUACAGUCGUGUGUGAUUAUCAUACGUAUUCUCCGAGACCUUUGUCAACGAGUUCCAACGUGGUCUGAUUUUCCUAGCUGGGUAAGUAGCCGGUGACAGCACAGUGUGAAACUGAGUAUUUAGAAAGUUCUUCUCUGGUAUUCUUUGUUCUCUGAUUUCAUUUGUCCUAUGUUUUCAUUUACAUGUUGUAUUUUUCUGUUUGACAAAUCCAGGAGAUUUGAAAAUACUUAUACUUUCUUAGGAUUUACUAAUUUAAAAAUUAUGCUUGUGCUGGUAAAAUACCUUAGUGAGCAAAAGCAUUUGCUACCAAGCCUGAGUUCCAUUCCUAUGGUAGAAGGAGAGAACUAACUUCUAAAACUUGUCCUUCGACCUUCACGUGCACUCCAUGCACACAUGCACGGGGGAGAAGGGCAGCAAACCACCCUCGUUUUUUUUAAAACAAAACAAUUAUCCUGGGCUGUGUAACAAGUCAGCUGUGCUAGCUUAGGCCCAAGUCCCCAGAACUUACCACAAAAGAAGAAAACUGCUCUUGCUGUAGCCUUGUUACUGUCUGGCAAGACAGGGGAUUGCUAUCCAUUAAGCUAGUUCCAGGUUUGAUUAAGAGACCCUUUCUCAAGGAAAUACGAUAAUGACAGUGUUAAAGUGCAGUCACACCUGGGCUUACAAGUAUGAGAGCCUGUCUUAAACAUAAAAAGACUCGCUGCCUGUAUUUAAAGGCAAACUGUUGUAGAAUGAUAAAAAUUCAGAGAUUUGUUCAGAAAUAUGAUUGAACCUGUUAAUUUUGAAGUUAGGUUAUUGAAAGUUAAAUAGCUAAGGUUAUCUUUUAUUUAUUUGUUUGUUUGUUUGUUUGUUUUGUUCUUGUGUUUAACAAUUACAUGCUUGGCCUGGAGAGAUGGCUCAGUGGUUAGAACACUGACUGCUCUUCUAGAGGUCCUGGGUUCAGUUCCCAGCAACCACAUAGUGGCUCGCAACCCUCUGUAAUGGGAUCCAAUGCCUUCUUCUGGUGUGCCUGAAGAGAGCAAUAGUGUACUCAUACAUAAAAUAAAUAAAUCUUUGAAAAAAAAAAUCACGCCAGGCGUGGUGGCACACGCCUUUAAUCCCAGCACUCGGGAGGCAGAGGCAGGCAGAUUUCUGAGUUCGAGGACAGCCAGGGCUAUAUAAAGAAACCCUGUCUCAAAAAACC
RNAcentral lists this long non-coding RNA (3007 nucleotides) under Mus musculus (house mouse). RNAcentral describes it as "long non-coding RNA chr15:12169949-12172956". The stretch from base 1553 to 1613 matches the Rfam family "mir-1898 microRNA precursor family". The record is from RNAcentral. Lineage: Eukaryota; Metazoa; Chordata; Mammalia; Rodentia; Muridae.